UUUAAUUGAAAUUAAUCCAAAAUGGCAAAAUUAAAAGAAUUAAUUAAGGAUCAAAUUGAACAAUCCAGGAAUUAAGGACUGUUUUGUAAACAGUGUUAUAAUUUAGGGAUUUAAUUGAAAUUAAUCCAAAGGAGCAAAAUUAAAAGGAAUUUUUAAUUGCUUAGAGGUCCAAUUGCCGAACUUCCAAAGUUCAGGGGUCAAAAUGAAAAUGUCCAUUGCUGCUUGAAACGUCGCCGUUGCUGCCGAAACAUCGCCGUUGCUGGUGGAACAGCCGUGUUCGUCUUCUCCAUCCCGAUUCAACAGGCUGAAAAUCUGCAACGUAUUCGAUCCAAUCGAGGACCAUGUCUCUCGCCCACGAUCUCGUUUGUGGAAGAUAACAGUCCUGCAAAGGCAGGACUGGUUAGAGGCAAUCAGGUGGGGAGUCUAUAAAAGGGAGAAGAAAACCUAGAACAGGGACGGAGAAAAAUCAACCCAAAAAACAGAGCAAAAACAGAGAGCAGAAAUACAGAGCAAAAAAAAGAGCAGAACACUGGAAACAGAGAACGAGUGAAAGACGAAAACAGGGAGGGGCAGAACUGAAGCUAAACCCAGACGAAAAACCAGAAACCGGAGAAAAGAACAGAGGAAAAACAAAGCAUAAAUCCAGAGAAAGAAAUAAUACACAGAGAGACGGAGAGAACAAGAGAGCAGCAAUACACAGAGACGAGUAUUGGCCCUGCCAUUGCCUUCGUCCCUGCAAACAACGAAAACCCAGAAUCAAAACAAAUUCCCAGCAGGCCGGCCUCUUCAUCAUCUUCUCGGUUUCAAAAGCUGCUGAGAAAACAAAAAGAACACGCAGACAAGUGAACACAGAAGGAAGAUAAGGGGAAGCAAUAGGCGAGAAUCCAUCAGCGCUGCAAGCAUCUUCGCCUCCCGAAGCAGGUACGCUCUUUCCUUUCUCCUUUCAUUCCCUGCAUAUUGU
Molecule: long non-coding RNA, 961 nt
Filed under: Populus trichocarpa (black cottonwood)
Lineage: Eukaryota; Viridiplantae; Streptophyta; Magnoliopsida; Malpighiales; Salicaceae
Description: long non-coding RNA (PTRI_LNC000041)
Source: RNAcentral